UCUCUGGUAGCUCAGUGGUAAAGUGUCUGCCUACAACGUGGGAGACCCGGGUUCGAUUCCUGGGUCGGGAA
RNAcentral lists this transfer RNA (71 nucleotides) under Capra hircus (goat). It matches the Rfam family "tRNA". Rfam says of the family: Transfer RNA (tRNA) molecules are approximately 80 nucleotides in length. Their secondary structure includes four short double-helical elements and three loops (D, anti-codon, and T loops). Lineage: Eukaryota; Metazoa; Chordata; Mammalia; Artiodactyla; Bovidae. RNAcentral also lists the same sequence under 1 other name. The record is from Rfam by way of RNAcentral.